UAAGGAAUAUUGGUCAAUGGACGCAAGUCUGAACCAGCCAUGCCGCGUGAAGGAUGAAGGUCCUCUGGAUUGUAAACUUCUUUUAUCUGGGACGAAAACGGGAUUUUUAUCUCAAUUGACGGUACCAGAGGAAUAAGCACCGGCUAACUCCGUGCCAGCAGCCGCGGUAAUACGGAGGGUGCGAGCGUUAUCCGGAUUUACUGGGUUUAAAGGGUGCGUAGGUGGGCUUAUAAGUCAGUGGUGAAAUCUCCGAGCUUAACUUGGAAACUGCCGUUGCUACUAUAGGUCUUGAAUUAUCUGGAGGUAAGCGGAAUAUGUCAUGUAGCGGUGAAAUGCUUAGAUAUGACAUAGAACACCAAUUGCGAAGGCAGCUUACUACAUAUAAAUUGACGCUGAGGCACGAAAGCGUGGGGAUCAAACA
Molecule: ribosomal RNA, 421 nt
Filed under: uncultured bacterium
Lineage: Bacteria
Description: bacterial SSU rRNA
Rfam family: Bacterial small subunit ribosomal RNA
Source: RNAcentral